This 254-nucleotide ribosomal RNA is filed under the name uncultured bacterium. Its description in RNAcentral is "partial 16S ribosomal RNA". It matches the Rfam family "Bacterial small subunit ribosomal RNA", at positions 524 to 776 of the family's 1533-position model. The record is from RNAcentral.
UACGUAGGGUGCGAGCGUUGUCCGGAAUUAUUGGGCGUAAAGAGCUCGUAGGCGGUCUGUCGCGUCGGUCGUGAAAACUUGGGGCUUAACCCUGAGCUUGCGGUCGAUACGGGCAUGACUGGAGUUCGGUAGGGGAGACUGGAAUUCCUGGUGUAGCGGUGAAAUGCGCAGAUAUCUGGAGGAACACCAGUGGCGAAGGCGGCCGACUGGGCCGAUCCUGACGCUGAGACCCGAAAGCCAGGGUAGCGAACCGG